This 461-nucleotide ribosomal RNA is filed under the name uncultured bacterium. RNAcentral describes it as "bacterial SSU rRNA". It matches the Rfam family "Bacterial small subunit ribosomal RNA", at positions 18 to 507 of the family's 1533-position model. The record is from RNAcentral.
CAUGGCUCAGGAUGAACGCUGGCGGGAGUGCCUAACACAUGCAAGUCGAGCGGCAGCGCGAGUAGUUUACUACUUGGCGGCGAGCGGCGGACGGCUGAGUAACGCGUGGGAACAUGCCCAGAGUGAGGAAUAACUGCCCGAAAGGGUAGCUAAUGCCGCAUACGAUCUUCGGAUUAAAGGAUUUAUCCGCUUUGGGAGUGGCCUGCGUACGAUUAGAUAGUUGGUGAGGUAAUGGCUCACCAAGUCUACGAUCGUUAACUGGUUUGAGAGGAUGAUCAGUCAGACUGGAACUGAGACACGGUCCAGACUCCUACGGGAGGCAGCAGUGAGGAAUCUUCCACAAUGGACGAAAGUCUGAUGGAGCAACUCCGCGUGCAGGAUGAAGGCCUUCGGGUCGUAAACUGCUUUUAUGAGUGAAGAAUAUGACGGUAACUCAUGAAUAAGGGUCGGCUAACUACGUG